ACUCAAAUGAAUUGACGGGGGUCCGCACAAGCGGUGGAACAUGUGGUUUAAUUCGACGCUACGCGAGAAACCUUACCUGGGCUUGACAUAUUUUUGACAGUCGUAGAAACACGAUCUUCUAAGUUUACUUAGACAAUUAUACAGGUGCUGCAUGGCUGUCGUCAGCUCGUGUCGUGAGAUGUUAGGUUAAGUCCUCUAACGAGCGCAACCCUUGCCGUCAGUUGCUACGUGCUUAUGCACGGCACUCUGGCGGGACUGCCUGGGAAACCAGGAGGAAGGUGGGGACGACGUCAAGUCAUCAUGGUCCUUAUGCCCAGGGCUACACACGUGUUACAAUGGCCAAUACAAAGGGCAGCAAACUCGCAAGGGGGAGCAAAUCCCAGAAAGUUGGUCUAAGUUCGGAUUGGGGUCUGCAACUCGACCCCAUGAAGUUGAAAUCGCUAGUAAUCGUGUAUCAGCAACGGCACGGUGAAUACGUUCUCGGACCUUGUACACACCGCCCGU
RNAcentral lists this ribosomal RNA (504 nucleotides) under uncultured bacterium. Its description in RNAcentral is "partial 16S ribosomal RNA". It matches the Rfam family "Bacterial small subunit ribosomal RNA", at positions 899 to 1397 of the family's 1533-position model. The record is from RNAcentral.